This is a non-coding RNA of Phthorimaea operculella (potato tuberworm), 70 nucleotides long. Lineage: Eukaryota; Metazoa; Arthropoda; Insecta; Lepidoptera; Gelechiidae. The record is from the annotation of a GenBank genome assembly.
UGGCGCAGCGCAGUGGUAAUGCGACUGCCUGCGACGCAUAAAGUCCCGGGUUCGAUUCUCGGUGCGUCAA